RNA transcript from Globicephala melas (long-finned pilot whale), 4980 nucleotides. It is a transcript of the gene named tigger transposable element-derived protein 1-like, with no coding region annotated. The record is from RefSeq and is a predicted model, not a curated record. NCBI's taxonomy places the organism in Eukaryota, Metazoa, Chordata, Mammalia, Artiodactyla, Delphinidae.
UCCUGAGUGCCUGCCCGCUCUGCCCAGGCCCUGUGUCCUCAUCUCUGGGAAGAAGACUCAGAAGCUGUGACAUGUUUGGAGACUUUUCUAGACUCUUAGCCUCCCAGAGGUGUGAGCCUGGGGUUGGUGUAGCAUUUCCCCUGCUCAGGUGCACUGGCCUUCUUUCUCUUCCUUUUCUCCUUCCUGACAAAGUCACGGAGUGCGUGCCAUGUGGCAGGCCCUGUGGGUCCAGCAGGGAAGGGAGAGAGGCAAGGUCCUUGGCCUGUUGGAGCCCAGUCUGGUUUGAGAGUUGGGACAGUGAGACCUCCAGUCACAAGUAGGGUGUGUUUCUUUCUCUAGAGGGGGUGGAGGCAAGAGGAGGUGGGCACAGAGGUCGGCCCGGCCAGGGGUGGCUUUGCAGUUCGUGCUGUGUGAUGUCUUCACCUUGGACGUGUGCUUCCGCACCUGUGAGGAGGUGACAGCCGUGCAGCAGGGAGGAGAGAUGGUUGGUUACCACCUCGGUCCACCCUGGCGUGUGUUUACUUAUUUACUCGUGUAUUUGUGCAGUUCCUUUUGCCUGCUUGGCCCCUUGUAUCGAGGGGUGGAAACCAUAGCACUUAAACAAGCAAACAAAAACUCAGCUUUAUUCGGCUCUAACCCACAUAAUCAAAAAAUUUUACACUUAGUGGGUUUUAGUAUAGUCACAGGUUUGUACAACCAUCACCCAUGUCUAAUGUCAUCACCUUCAAAUAAACUCCGUACCCGCCAGCAGCUACUCCCCAUUCUUCCCUUUCCUAGUGCCUUGGCAGCCAGCAACCUGCUUUGUGUCUCUGUACACUUUCUUAUUCUGGACGUUUUAUUAAAUGGUAUCAUACAUUUCCUGGAGUCAUACAUGGCUUUUUAUGAUGGGCUGCUUUCAUCGAGUGUCAUGUUUCCAGCGUUCAUCCACAGUGUAGUACGUCACUCAUCUUUAUGCCUAGUCAUAUUCCGUUGUGUGGUUAUACCGCAUUCUGUUUAUUCAUUUAUCUGUUAUGGUUAUUUGGGUUGUUUGUACCUUUUGGCUGUUACGAUUAAUGCUGACGUGAACUUACGUAUACUUUAUUCUCUUGCUUAUAUACCUAGGAGUGGAAUUGCUGGAUCACACGGUAACUCUGGCCUUUUGAGGAACUGCUAACACACCACUUGUUUUAAGAGAGGGGAUUUAAUGUAGAGAGUGUAACCUAGGCAUUGAAGGAGUGAAAAAGUACAGAAAGAACUCUAAGGUGUCAUGGCGGUAGGAACUGCAGGGAACUGUGUCCGCUCCAGGAAGAGGUCGGAAUUAUGACAGUUAGAGACUCAAAGGAGGGGCUGGGAGGUGGGGCUGCUGCUGGAUGGUGCUGGGGUCUCCCAGGGGGACAGCAUGCAGCUGGUUCUGCACAUGUUGGAAAAACUGCAAACUGGAUCUAGCUGCUGCUAAAGAAACCCUUGAUAAUGCACGACUGGUUUUCACCCAGGCAUGAACGUGAGGUGCAGGUGAGACACCUUGUACGCAUGGGUCCACAGUCCUCCCAGGGUGUCUGGCUGUCGUGCUGGGCUGUUCUCUGAGCCAUGGGCAGCGUUUGUCGUCUUAGGGGACUGUUCUUAGGGAACUGUACCAGUUCCCAGCUUCCCACGGAACGGAUGCUUAGGUGAUGCACACUGUUAAAAGAGAUUUUGCAUCGUAAGAGUGUGGACGUUGGCAAAGCAGCCUGCUGGCACUGAACGGACUUAGGCCUGGUGCUCUCGAGGAUCCUCUGGGGCAUGCAUGGUUAUGUCCACUCAGUCCUGAAGCCGCGUGGUCUCACGUUUACACGAAAACUCCUGCCUUUGCUCCGUACCCUUACCUGCUCUCAGCCUGUUGCUGGCCCCUUCGAUGUCCCCACAUGGGAGAGGGUAGGGCCCGGCCCUGGCUUUCUCUGGGUGGUUUUGGAGAUGACUGCUCUGAUGCUAUCAGGGAGACCAGAAUGAUGUCCCAAGCUCUUCCUUGGCUGUCACUGUUGCUGUGUGUUCGGGGGUCCCAAAGACCCCCCCUUAGCCUCAAGUGAUUUGCUAGGAGUCACAGAAUUCAACAAGGCUAUUAUAUUCGUGGUUGUAGUUUAUUACAGUGAAGGAUACAGAUUAAAGUCAGCGGUGGAAAAAGGUGCCUAGUCUGGGAGAUACCAGGCACGAGAUUCCGGGUGUCCUUUCCUGUGGGAGUCGUGUGGGUCGUGCUUAAUUCCCACAGCAGUGAUGUGCGACGACACGCACAGGAUGCUGCCACUGGGGGGCUCGCCUGCAGUGACGUCCAGGAUUUUUACUGGGGGGUCAGUCACCGAGUUAUGGAACAUGACUGACCUUAGUUACUCAGCCUGAACUCCCGCCAGAGGUCAGACCUGUACAGUGUGGCCCAGGGUUACUACCAUGUCACAUUGUUAGCAUGAACUGUCUGUGUGACCCAAGAACUUAGGUAAACAACGAUGUUCUUAUCAGGCAGAAUCUUCCAAGGGCUUAGAGGUCUCCUCCCAGGAGCAGGUCAAGGGCCAGACUUUCGUUUGGGGUGUGGAGGGUUUGGACAGCUCAGGCCUGCUGAGUCAGCCCUUUACUGACCACCCAGCUGCAGCUGAAGGAAGCUUCUAAUGACUAUCUCCUUGGUGUUUCAGUGACUUGGGUUUCAGGGGCCUUGGGUGUGUUCUUGAGGUACGUAUGUGUGUGUGCAUCGGAAGGGGCUGCCUGUCAGCCAGGGUACGGUGUUCUCUGUGAAUCAGAGGGCAAGCGGUGUGUCAUCUGGCUCAGAGUGUCUGGCCAGUAGGACAUGUUGACCUCCGGAUUGAUUAAUGGGCUUGGGUGCCUCACCCCUUUGUCCCCAGGGUGGGCCUGCAGACACUAACACUGCUCUUUCCCCUCAGCCCUGGCCCAGGCCCCUCCCGAGGACCAACGGUUUGGAGACCUGGCAGAGCCGGCCAAGCCCUUCACGGAUGGAGCUCAGUACUGUAUAGAGUACAGUAGUACAGUAUCUUUAUUUCAAGCCCAGGAUGUCCGGAAGCAAGCGUAAAAGCAGCGGUGAUGUAGCGGGUACUGCUAAGAAGCGCCACGCGAUAACGAUGGAAACAAAAGUGAAAAUAAUUGAGAGAGUGGAGCGAGGCGAAAAGAUGGUAGACGUCGCUCAUUCUUAUAACCUGAAUCGUUCAACCAUCGGCUCAAUCGUAAAGAACAAGGACAAGAUCAUGGAACAUGUGAAGUCUGCUAUGCCGAUGACGUCCACAAUAAUAACAAAGAAGCGUGGAAAAGUGAUGGAGGAGAUGGAGAAACUUCUCAGUGUGUGGAUGCAGGAUCAGCGUCAGCGUCGAGUCCCACUCAGCUUAAUGCUGAUUCAAGAGAAAGCCAAGAGCCUUUAUGAAGACUUGAAGAAGAAACACGGCGAAGAAUCAGAGGGCAAAUCUUUUAAUGCCAGCCGUAGCUGGGUCCACCGGUUCAAGGCUAGAGCCAAACUUCACAAUGUAAAAGUGAGUGACAAGGCAGCGAGUACAGAUACAAUAGCUGCCCGGGAAUUUCCUGAAACGCUUCGAGAAAUUAUCGAUGAAGGCGCGUAUUUACCCGAGCAGGUGUUUAAUGUGGACGAGACAGGACUGUACUGGAAGAGGAUGCCGGACCGAAGUUACAUCAGUAAGGAGGAAAAGUUGAUGCCGGGCUAUAAAGCAUCAAAGGAUAGGCUCACGCUGUUGUUUGGUGGCAAUGCUUCCGGUGAUAUGAAGCUGAAGCCUCUGUUAGUUUAUCACUCAGAGAACCCAAGAGCCCUUAAAAACAUAGCCAAGGGCUCUCUUCCUGUUGUGUGGAAGAGUAACCCCAAAGCCUGGGUUACACAGGCCAUUUUCCAGGACUGGUUUUUCCACCACUUUAUCCCGGAGGUAGAGAAAUACUGCUUGGAGAAGGACGUCCCAUUCAACAUUCUUUUGCUGCUCGACAGUGCUCCGGGCCACCCCCCAUUCAUGGACGACUUUCAUCCCAACGUCAAAGUAGUGCAUCUGCCACUGAAUACUACGGCGCUCAUCCAACCUAUGGACCAGGGAGUUAUAGCGACUUUCAAGAAAUAUUACUUACGUCACACUUUUCGUCAGGCAGUAAAGGCGAGUGACGAAUCAGGAACAACCUUGCGACAAUUUUGGAAGGACUAUAACAUCUACAAGGCCAUAAAAAACAUUGACUUUGCCUGGAGUGAGGUUACGGCCGUCACCAUGAAUGGGGUUUGGAAGAACCUUUGCCCGAAGUUUGUUCACGAUUUUCGUGGAUUUGAGAAGGUGGAUGAGGAGUCCAAAGAGGUCUUCAGCAACUUAGUGACCCUCAGCGAGAAGCUGGAGCUAGAUCUGCAAGAGGACGACUUCAUUGAACUCCUUGCUGUGCAACAUGAGGAGCUCACUAAUGAAGACCUGAUGGAAUUGGAGGCCCAGAGAAAGGAUGAAGAGGGACAGGAGGAAGAAGAAGUAACUGAAGAACCGAAGAGAUUCACGACGCAGGAAAUGGCAAGGGGGUUUUCUUUAUUUGAGGAGGCGCUGUUGGUGUUUGAGGCACAGGACCCGAAUGUAGAACGGUACACGAAGGUUGCAGCAGCCGUUCAGAAUGCAAUCCAGUGCUACCGUGUCAUCUAUGACGAGAAAAAAAGAGCUACUACGCAGACAUCACUGGAUCGUUUUUACAAGAGGGUGGAUAGAAUUAAAUCCAGCAAGGAACCAGAGCCUGUGCCAUCCACGUCAGGCGUGAGUGAAAUUGCAGCUUGCCCUCCGUCUCCUACUGCUGACGAUCCUUCAGCCCUACCAUCUCCCACCUCCUCUUCCUCCUCCAGUCAGUAACUCUUCCUGCCUGUUCCCUUGAUGCCAGCCCCUGGAUGCCAGCUGUUGUACUGUACUACGGUACUUUUCAAGCGGGUCAGGGCUGGGGCGGCAGCGGCCCUGAAAUCAGCGGGCUCAGGGCGGGAACAUAAAUAUUCUGUUGUGGUGUCCGGAGAGAGUG